This 3436-nucleotide long non-coding RNA is filed under the name Aotus nancymaae (Ma's night monkey). Its description in RNAcentral is "lncRNA (ENSANAG00000038872.1)". Lineage: Eukaryota; Metazoa; Chordata; Mammalia; Primates; Aotidae. The record is from RNAcentral.
GGCGCUGAGGGGAGUGAGGAGGUCACACUGUGUGUGGGUGCUGAGGGAGUGAGGAGGUCACACUGUGUGGGUGCUGAGGGGAGUGUGGAGGUCACGGCGUGUGUGGGUGCUGAGAGGUGUUAGGAAAUCCGAUGUGUUUGUUUCUCCUGGACAGUGUCCCUGUGAGAGAGCCAUGCUGGCCCAAGUCCCGUCACUGUUGGACAGAGAGGGCUCUUCCUGGAGUGAGGCUCCCAUGUGGGUGCUUGCUCUGGCGAGGGAUCUGGUCACGUCUCACCCGAGUGUGUUUAUUUCCGGCUUUGUCGGGAGGCUGGGCACCCGUGGAAGGAAGGAGGACCAGAGGGGGAAAAGGUUUCUUAGAAAUUUGAGGAACAGAAAGCAGGAGGGGUUAUUUCAGGCCUCCUGUUCAGGGGGAAGCACAAUUUUAUGGACGUGGAGUUUCUCUUUGGAGAAUUUGAAUACAUGUGACAAGAUCUUUGGUCCAUUAGCAUCUGAAUUCUUUCUAGAAAACAGGAGCAGAAUGAUUUACCGGAGGACAUCAGCGUCAUUCUGAGGAAGGCCUAUAGGCACCUAGGCCUUUUCAACCCCCACCGCUCUCCUUCCAUCAGAGAAGAAAAAAUGCUUCUGCUUUUUGAAUUGGCUCGUUUUUCCUUGACCUUGAAGUGCACGGAGAUCUCCUCUGACUGCCUGUCAGACCUGAAGAAGAUGGAAAGCGCGGAUCCUGGGAAGCUGAUUGAAAUUGAGUGUCUGGAGUGUGAAUCAGAAGCUUUAAGACUUGAGAGUAAAAUGAAAGUGUACCUCCGAGCAGCCGUUGAGACCCAGCUGGAUAUCGUACAGAGACUGGACGUCGCGCUGCAGCGAGCCGUCCGCCUGGGCGACCCCCGGGUCAUCCAUGUGGUGUGCGCCACGCAGUGGAACACCUGCCUGCCCCUGCUGCAGCACAACCUGCGACACCGCCUGAGGAAGCCGCUGGCCAGCGUCGCGGAGGUGCUGGAGAAGGUGGACAGCCUCAUGACGCUGCUCCGCUGCCAAGUACACAUGGAGAUGGCGCAGAUUGAGGAGGACGAGGACCGGCUGGAGCCCGCCAUGGAGCACCUGUGGAAAGCCACACGCCUGGACAGCCUGGGCCUCUACCAGGACCAGCUCCGGAUGGCCUCCACCCGGCUGCGCCUGUGCACCACGCUGUACCAGGCCCCCGAGCACGCUGAGGACAAGGCCAUCGUGUGCAUCGAGCAGGCAAAAAAAGCUCCCCCGAAGGACAGCGUCAGGAAGAAGCGGGCCCUCCUGGUGAACGCGGGCCUGGCCUUAGCCCCCGACACCUUUCAGAUCGUGCUGGACAGUGAGAAUGAGGCCAAAGUGUCCACUGGGAAGAACAGGGGCCGGUUCAGCUACCUUUGCUCGAAGGCACGGCACCACAUUGUCAGCGUGGACAAAGCUGCCGGGCACCUGCGGCGGCUGGGCUAUGAAAAUGACAAGGAGAGGAUUCAGAUCUGGGCGGAGCUAGCCAAGGUGGCGCGGAAGCAGGGCGUGUGGGACGUCUGUCGGACGGCGAGCCGCUUCUGCCUCCUGUAUGACAACGUCAAGGUGAAGAAGCUGAGGCUGCGGAGAGGGAGGAAGAAGCGAGGUGGGGACAGCUCAGUGCAGGACGCUGGGAGCCAGCCUGAGGUCGUCCUGCAGAGGCAGGUGUCCCCUGACCUGCUGCGGAAGUUCGCGGAGGUGGGGUUCAUCAACGCUGAGGCCACGGUCCAUUUGCUGCGGUCAGAAGGUGUAGAGCUGAAUGACCGGGCCAUCCCCCCCGAAGACCUGAGCCAGCACCCAGCCGGCUACGUGCCUGAGCCCCCGGAGGCGAGUGCUGAGUGGGUCACAUACAGAACCUGGAUUGAGAGCCUGUCCCAGUACGCCAUGAAUAACUGGCUGCGCUCUGCAGAGAUUGGACAGGAACUCCAGGAGGCAUGGAUCGUGCAGAACGCUGUGGUCUACGUCCUGAACCACAGCCGCCACCUGAUCCUGGCCGGGCGGCAGAAGGAGCUGGUGGACGCCCUGCACCACCUCCUGAGCAUCGUCAAGGCCACAGGCCACAGCGGGGACCCUGUGAUGCUGGUGACGCUCUGCAACACGCUGGCACGAGGCCUGAUCAUCAGCUGGAUUCCAGCCCUGGCUGCUGAGAAGUCCAGGAAAUUGGUGCGAGCAAAUGCCUUUCACAGCCCACUGGAUGCAGGAGCCACCUCCGAGAUCAAAACAGCGGUGGAGGUCUGUGAGUUUGCCCUGAACCUGACCAACGGGAGCACACCAGAGGAGACGGUGCCCACCCGCAUCCGGCAGCAGCUCCUCGCCACCUGGGUCAAGGCCAAGCAGCUCCUGCAGCAGCAGAUCGGGCCACGGCUGGGCACCGAGGAGCAGUUGGUGAAAAUGGCUUCUGAGUGCAACUGGUCGGACCCCCUGGUGGAGCUGCAGACCCUGACGCGGCUGACCCACUUCGCCUACACGGCACGUGACCAUGAGACCACCAUGGCCUGUGCUCACAAGGCCGUUGAGAUGGGCGUCAAGUACCUGAAGACACUUGGUCCCGUGGAGUCCCGGCUGGUGGCGGAGAUGCUGUGCACGGCCGCGGGUGUCCAGGGCAGGAGCAUCAUGGAGAACCUGAAGGGCCAGAAGCAGCUGCGGCUGGUGGCAGCCAAGGCCUUCAUGGAGAGUGCUAGGUUCGGAGGCAUCGCGGGCAGCAGCGCCCUGGUGAUGCUGGCCGCGCGGCACUUCUGGAAUGCCUGGCUCCCGUUCCUGUCCUCGGCCGUCUACAGGAAGAAGGCCCAGGGUGCCCUGCAGAGGCUCAUCCGCAUCAUCAACAGGACAGAGGCCGAAAAGCAGGAGGAAGAGAAGACGCUGCUUCUGCACCAGUGGCCCACAGCCGACUUCCAGGGCGGCGGGACGGCCGACGGGUAUUUUCUUCCAGGGGCUGAGGACGACCUGACACUCCGUGCCGCGCUGUACGGCCUGCUCUUCCACAGCCAUACCGACCAGGACGACUGGGAGGGCGGCCUCAAGGUGCUGGACGAGGCUGUGCAGGUGCUGCCUCGGACGGCCCACCGCCUCUUGAUCUUCAAGCACAUGAUCAUCGUGAAGGCCAAGCUCGGGCAGAAUUUCUCGAUGGAAAUACAGAAGUUCAAGGCUGAGAGUGAGGACUACGUGGCAGGCAUGUGGCGCCGACUGGCCCUGAACUCACGGAGCGUGUCUGCAGAGCUGGCCUGCUACCACAGCGCCAUCCAGGCCUUGCAGGUGUGAACCCAUGAGCAUGCGUGCACGUGGUGCCGUUCAUCCUCGAGUGGAAGGGAGAGCCGUGUGGACAAAAGCUCAGCUGGGAACUGGCAUGGGCGGCACUUAGGGCAGCGAUGGCUGACGGCGCAGAAUGCACCACAUGGCCCCGGGCGCUCCUCCUGCUGACCAG